RNAcentral lists this unclassified non-coding RNA (3855 nucleotides) under Helicoverpa zea (corn earworm). RNAcentral's name for it is "uncharacterized LOC124637850, transcript variant X4". The record is from RNAcentral. Lineage: Eukaryota; Metazoa; Arthropoda; Insecta; Lepidoptera; Noctuidae.
CGAACGCCGCCGCUCCGCACGAGACGCCCGCUGCUCGCCGCGCCGCACGCUCGCGCCACCGGUCCGCCCGGUCUUGUGAUUACACCUUGUGCGACACAUUAUUAUUGUGCAGUGUUAUUUGGACAUUUGACAAGCUCCUGCCUGGACACAGUGUACUGUCCAACUAACUCGGACCUAACUUAAGUGCAGUUUAACUUUACUGUGAGUGUAAGUUUUUGAGAAGUUUCAUUUUGUCCACUUCAGUGAUACGUCUUGUAAAGUGAACUAAACUGUAAUCUGAAGUCGUGUUUCAUGUGCCGCGUUUGUUUACUUGUCAAGUUUCAUACGGAGUAGCAGUUGUUAAUAUUUUACUGAAGUUGAAACUUUUACAACUUACUCUGAAUUCAUUUGUGUGUUUCGUCCGAUUCAAGUUCAACAAACAACUUUUGAUCGCAACCCAAAGAUCACUUAAGCGUAAUCUGGCUCUUCACUUCUUGGACCAGAAUUGGACACACAAAGUGGAGAUUAACCAUGUCAUAAGGUACUAAUUGGAUAUGAGAGGAUGAGCCAUGGAAUCACGAAGCGCGCCGCCGAGCCCCGACGAGGCCGGGGAGGCGGUGUACGACAAUCGUUGUGGACGUUACCCACACCCGCCCACUCUCCAGCGAACCUUCGCCAGUUGCCGCGAGACCACGCGACCGCGUCCGCAUCAUCGACAUGCCACGUCAGAGCCCGCGCGACCAGACGACCACGUGCAGCAGUCGUUCGUCACAGCAGAGGUUCACGACUACCCCUCGUCCGAAUCCGGCAUAGCAGCCGACUGCCCCCAUGCCCAUACUAGUAAUGCUGAUGACAGUCCUUCUUACGACCGCUCAGACUUCGAAGGGAACUCCAGCUACAGUUUGAGGCAUACUCCUGACUAUCACCAUACACUAGAUUGUAAACAUAGGCCUAUUGAUUACAAUCGUAGCCACACACCAGACUAUACUCAUGGUCACGGAUCUGAUUGCGAUCGAGCACACCCACGCUCUCAAACAUCCCGACGACCCCAUAGAAAACAUAGACGUGAAGAAGACGAUGGCGCGCAGUCACUCGACGAACGCUGUGCCAGGGAUUUGGAUGAAAUCCUCCCUGCACGGCUCGCUGCAGUCAAUUUAUCGAGGGAACCACCUCCUCAGACUUGGAAUAGAAGCAACAUAGCAGCAACAAUGGAACGUUUUGAACCAGUUGAUUACUCCUAUGCUUAUUACGAUCACCAUUUAUCAAUGCCAUCAUCAUCGAGGAAAGUAAACCGUCAACGAGGCAGGGGUGGCAUACCACGAGAUCGAUCAUCGCGUCAUAAUUAUGUCACUAGGUAUGGCACAGAAGAAAAUAUUUAUGAAGAAAUUACAGAUGGAUCUAGGACUUGCCCUAAACAUCGAUACGCUCCACGACAGUCACUAGUUUCUUUAGAUAGAAGUGUUGUGGAAGAGGAAGUUCGUCGAGUAGAAUCGAGACACAAACGAAUUCUGGGAGAGUUAAAUCUUAGUGUAGAAGCUAUGCUUAUGCCGGAAUGCGAAUCUCCCGAUUCGGAACGUGCGGAAGACAGAGACAAUAUCGAGGAACUGUUGCGAGUCGGUCCCACAGACGAGUUACUUUCGCCGGCAAGUUGUAAUCCACCAGACUUAGACAGCGGGUUUAGUGGUAGCAGUAGCGGAGCAAGUUAUGUAGGUAGUUUGCGUCGUAAACCGACGGGAUCAGUGCCGCACUUGCCCGCCGUGGCGUACGGCACGCGAGGAGCUGGCGUGCGGAUUCUAGGCGCAGACGAGUGUGGUCUGCGAUGCCCCAAAGACAUACCAUCGCCACGUAGCUCCAGCUGUGGGGAUGCCAAGACAACUGGGUUUUGGAACAAAAAAGCCUGGAAGAAAAUAUCUGGUUUCUCAAGUUCCAACAGUAUCAACAAAGCCGGAUUAACUGGUCUGCUCGUUAGGUACACUUUCCGGCGUAAGUCCGGCUCGCAGGGCUCUCAGGGCAAGCGGCGUGCCGAGCCCGUCAAAUGCGAUGCGUGCCUCUCACAACGAUGUUAGCCGCUCUAUGAUGACGCGUGUAGGCCAAGCAGAGCUAAAUCCAGAACAGCCACUAUACCAUACAGCUACUCCAACGGAAAACUGGUGGUGCCGCUGGAUUCCCUAGCACAGAGCUGAGGGGCCGAGCCCCCGCGGCAUUCCCGCCUCCAACUCCUCCGAGGGGCUGCUCAACACCGCAGGACAACGAUGAACAACAACCUAGCAACCUAACAUGCAGGACUUACUGCCUAUGUAACAAUAUGAAGAAACAUUCCAUUUGAGACUAUCUCUGGGCACCAUUAAGUUGUCGACACCUCAGCGAGUCUCAAAGACAAACUAGGUGUAGCCAGUGUAAAUAAAGUGAACAGACAUUCAAUUACUGUAGGACAAACGAGGAGAGUAUACGUUGAAGUGAUAGAAACGCCUAAAUUAAUUAUUUGUAUUGUUAUAACGAUCGUUUCAUAGAAACGUAAUGACUACGUUGUUGUUACUUAUCAAUUUUUAGUAGUUAAUAGGUACAUGAAAAGGCUGACAAAGUUGAAACCGAUUUUGUACAUGAUAUGAAGCUGCCAUGUUAGCUAAUAUUUCAGUUUUGUCUACCGAUUUGGUGUUUAUCUGCGAUUUUUCUAUAUCAACAAUAUUAGAUAAAUAAAUGUAAUUCGAUAUAAGAACAUUUCUUAUUCUAAAAGCUACAGAUUUUGCCCAAAACUUGGUGCUUUACAUAAAACUACUGUAACAGCUGUCACCACUUCCUUUACCGCCCUUGUAAAUAAAUAAUUUCAUGACCCGAGCUACAAGAAUUGUAAGGUCCAAUCUAUUUAUUUCCAACAUAAAAAUUAUGUAAUAUUAUUUUGUUUCAUAAAAGUUUUUAACAAUAUCUCAUUCGGUAAAAUAUUGUUAAUAAUUGUUAGUAAAUAGUUGUAUAUUUUGUAAAUACAUGCGAAAAACAUGGUGCACUAUUUGUUUUAUAAUUUAUGUAAAUAGAUGUAAAUGUACGUAUACAGUCACAGUCGUAACGCUUUAAUUAAUAUUUUACAUGCAUUUUCUCGUAAACAGUUGAGUGUCAUCGUUAUAAGACUUUUGAAUAAAAUGGCAGUAAUAUGGUAUUUGUUUUCACUUGUGGGAUAUUUAUUGAAUUUUAUGCUAACUGAUUCAUGAAUGUGUAAUGCUGUGUUGAAUGGUAACACAUGCCUUUGUAGUAGUAUUUUGGUAUUAAGUCGCUGAUCCAUUACAUUUGCGUGGCUGGAUGCGAGGCGUCGUUAGUAUUCGAGGCAGCCGCUUACCUCGAGGCAGUCUCGGAGCACCGGCUUUACAUGUACAGAUUUGACAUAUGGGAAUUACUAUGCGUGCUGAUUUACAAACAUAAAUAAAACUGGACGGCUUUCACUCUACGCCACAUGUUGCCCGUAAUUGUUCAUAAUUUUAUAUUGCGGCUCCCGAUUUACAGAUGUUACAUUAUUUUAAAAAAACACAUUACGUACAGCUAUAUAUUUUCAUUCAAACAUAUCCGACAUUAAAAAUAAUAUUUGGUUAAAAAGAAUAUUCAUUUUCAUAAAGCCUAGAGGCGUAGAGUGAAAUGCUUUAAUCGUUUUUAAGAGUAUAAUUUAUUAUGAAUGUCACAAGAGCAUGUACAUACCUUCGUAGUAAUAAUGUAAAUUUUCAUUUUAUCAGUCAGUGAAGGAGUCUGUCUUGUAACUAAUAUUAUUCUAAGCUCGACUGAUACGACGUAAAAUAAUCUCAAUGUUACAUGAAAUAAAUAUUUCUUUAAUUGUCUGUAAUUUAGUGAUCGUGUUCAAGUCAAAAGAGAUUUUUAUUAAAUAAAUUACAAAAA